UGGCAGCUGCUGCCGGCAAGAGCGGGAAUCACCGACAGGAGUUGAAUGUUGGAGCUGGCAUUGAUAUUGCAGUAGAGCCAUGAAACCUCUCACUUGUGCAAUGUCAUACAAAUCAGUUCUCAUGCCAACAAGUAGAUUGGACGGAGCUGUGUGGCGGGACGUGCUCCCCUGGCUGGGAGGGCAGCUCCUGAGAUCCAUCCCCACACAAUCCCUGAAAAUUAACAUACAUGCAGGUAUCCCCCAAAAAUGCCAAGGCAGUGGAAAGAAUUCAGAAAGGUUCAUUUUGAAGACAAGAACAUUCAAAAGCAUACAAAGGAAAUUCUGCACCAGCUACAAGAGCACUGGGCCUGAGAAAGUCACUGAUCUCUUCCAGGUUUCUCUAGUAUCGCUGCCCCCCCGGCUCUCUCUGGCCCUGUAGCGUGUCUGUAAGCGUUCUCUCUGUGCUCCCGUUCCAGACAGAGAGGCUGAGAACUUGUCUGGUAAUGGGGGGAGGGAGAAAGCAGCCAAACUGCCUUUGAGAAAGAUGUUCCUUUUAGGCAGAAAAGCCUUCCUAAGGACCUAACUCUGUCUCCUCAUAACAAAAUCUUCUGCAAGACUAUUCUAUCCUCACAAUCCCACCCAGACAGUGAGGUCACAGCAGGCCUGUGAGGUCACAGAGCCCCGUGGUCCCACAGCACCACAAUGACCGACCACUCAGUCCCUUACUGCAACUGUUGCGGCAGCAGCGGCGGCGGCAGCAGUGUCAGAUUUGGUGGCGUUUGGACAGUGAUUACUGGACAGUGAUUACUGGACAGAGAUUGUACAGCAGCGGUGUCAGGACAGCGGUGUCAGGACAGCGGUGUCAGGACAGCGGCGGCAGCAGUAGCUGCCGGACGGUGUGAGGGCGAGGGGCCAUGGCCCUUGCCCUCCGCCUCUUCCUCCUCCUCCUCCUGGCAGUGGCCCUGCACGCCAGGGCUGCCCAGGCUGCUCCGGUGCCAGCGCGGGGAGCAGAUGAGAACACUGGGAAUGCUUCCCCAUUAGACUGGCUGCGUAAAGUUUUGCAGCCCUUGCAGCCUCCUGCAGGGGUGUCUGCAGGGAGGACUUUUCCAGCUCCUCUUCUGGUUCCUCGGCCCAAACUUGUCUCACACGGCAGGGGUGAGUAGUCUGUCCCUGCUGACCUCACAGGCUGAGCUCCGGUUUUCUCUAAUCCGUUCAUGUUAAAAGGAACUGCUUCCCAUUCAGGUCCUC
This is a long non-coding RNA of Chiroxiphia lanceolata (lance-tailed manakin), 1227 nucleotides long. RefSeq lists it as uncharacterized. NCBI's taxonomy places the organism in Eukaryota, Metazoa, Chordata, Aves, Passeriformes, Pipridae. The record is from RefSeq and is a predicted model, not a curated record. The transcript is spliced from 3 exons.